RNAcentral lists this ribosomal RNA (477 nucleotides) under uncultured bacterium. Its description in RNAcentral is "bacterial SSU rRNA". It matches the Rfam family "Bacterial small subunit ribosomal RNA", at positions 28 to 507 of the family's 1533-position model. The record is from RNAcentral.
GAUGAACGCUGGCGGCGUGCUUAACACAUGCAAGUCGAACGGAGAAAGGGUAGCUUGCUAUCUUUUCUUAGUGGCGGACGGGUGAGUAACGCGUGGGUAACCUGCCCUUUGCAGGGGGAUAACAGUGAGAAAUCACUGCUAAUACCGCAUACCAACUUCUUUCGCAUGAAAGAAGUUUGAAAGAUUUAUCGGCAAAGGAUGGACCCGCGUUGGAUUAGCUAGUUGGUGAGAUAACAGCCCACCAAGGCAACGAUCCAUAGCCGGCCUGAGAGGGUGAACGGCCACACUGGGACUGAGACACGGCCCAGACUCCUACGGGAGGGCAGCAGUGGGGAAUAUUGCACAAUGGGCGAAAGCCUGAUGCAGCGACGCCGCGUGAAGGAUGAAGGUCUUCGGAUUGUAAACUUCUAUCAGCAGGGAAGAAAGGGCCUAUGGCCUAUGACGGUACCUGACUAAGAAGCCCCGGCUAACUACGUG